AAUCAACGCUGGCGGCGUGCCUUAGACAUGCAAGUCGAACGCGAAAGGUUCCUUCGGGAACCGAGUAGAGUGGCGCACGGGUGAGUAACACGUAGGUAAUUUGCCUUUGGGUGGGGAAUAACUCAGGGAAACUUGAGCUAAUACCGCAUAAUGCAGCGGCUCGACAUCGAGACAGUUGUUAAAGCGGGGGAUCGCAAGACCUCGCGCCUAAAGAGAAGCCUGCGGCAGAUAGCUAGUUGGUAGGGUAAUGGCCUACCAAGGCAACGAUCUGUAACCGGCCUGAGAGGGCGGUCGGUCACACUGACACUGACAUACGGGUCAGACUCCUACGGGAGGCAGCAGUCGGGAA
This 349-nucleotide ribosomal RNA is filed under the name uncultured bacterium. Its description in RNAcentral is "bacterial SSU rRNA". It matches the Rfam family "Bacterial small subunit ribosomal RNA", at positions 32 to 361 of the family's 1533-position model. The record is from RNAcentral.